UCCAGGUUCAUCCCCCGUCAAACCCACGCUUCAACGCGAUUCCUCUUAAUUCUCGUUAGGGUUAGGGGUUUCAUCUUUUCUUUCAUAUUUUCUCCUGCAAAAUUUGAAUGACCCACUCUUCUUCUUCUUCUUCUUCUUUCUCCAUACACACACAAUCAAUGUUCAAGCACUGCUACUGUACCUUGUGCAAACCCUCUUGCGUCUUCCUCCGUUGUUGUUAGCCAUCGGAAAUUUCACCGAUUGAAGCAGCAGCAGCAGCAGCAGCUUCAUUCAUGGACCUCUCUCACACUCAAUCCAAUUUGUCUCUCGGUUUUUCUUCUUCUCACGCUUCGCCUUCGCCGCCUCGCCGUCCACAGAUUCCCGAUGAAUCUAUCUCGCUUCACCUCGAAACCACCCUGCGUGAUCCUUCGCACCCGCUCCCUACGGUGCCGCUUCAGCUGCUUGAACCGCAGACGGAGAAUGGGAGCGUGGACGUCGAAUUGGAUGACGACGAGGAUAGAGAAGUCGAGGAGUUUCGUAUUCUAGGGCAUUCAAUGUGCUUGAAGAGGCGAAGGGAUUGCGAAUCCUCAUCAUCCUCUUCGAUUCCCACCAAGAGGGUUUCCGCCGAACCGGAUCUUGAGUCGCGGAGGGUUGCGGUUCGAUCGUGGGGUUGCCAACCCCUGCCGGUUGCUGACCCUGAUAUCUAUGAGAUAAUGGAGAAGGAGAAGAAAAGGCAAUUCGGAGGAAUUGAAUUAAUAGCUUCUGAGAAUUUUGUGUGUAGGGCUGUGAUGGAAGCACUUGGGAGCCAUUUGACGAAUAAGUACUCAGAGGGAAUGCCUGGUUCGCGCUACUAUGGAGGGAAUCAAUAUAUAGAUGAAAUCGAAACCCUAUGCUGUGAACGUGCCUUGCUCGCGUUUAAUCUCGACCCCAAGUGUUGGGGUGUGAAUGUGCAGCCUUAUUCUUGUACCUCUGCUAAUUUCGCUGUGUACACGGGAUUGUUAUUGCCCGGUGAUCGUAUCAUGGGUUUGGAUACCCCAUCUGGAGGGAAUACUAGUCAUGGGUACUAUACUCCUAAUGGGAAGAAAGUUUCGGGGGCGUCAAUAUUCUUUGAGAGCUUACCAUACAAGGUGAACCCUCAAACGGGUUAUAUUGAUUAUGAUAAGCUUGAGGAAAGGGCACUUGAUUUUCGUCCCAAGAUACUUAUUUGUGGUGGGAGCUCCUAUCCUCGAGAAUGGGAUUACGCUAGGUUUAGGCACAUUGCAGAUAAAUGUGGAGCUGUGUUAUUGUGUGACAUGGCCCAGAUUAGUGGACUAAUUGCAGCCAAGGAAUGUGUGAACCCUUUUGACUAUUGUGAUGUUGUUACUUCGACAACUCACAAGAGUCUUCGAGGUCCAAGAGGGGGCAUAAUUUUUUAUCGGAAGGGUACAAAACCAAGGAAGAGAGGGAUACUUCUAAGUCAGGGAUAUGAAAGUGAUCAAUAUGACUUUGAAGAAAAGAUAAAUUUUGCUGUUUUUCCGUCAAUGCAAGGGGGCCCGCACAAUAACCAUAUUGCGGCACUUGCUAUAGCUUUAAAACAAGUAGCUACUCCUGAGUACAAGGCAUACAUGCAGCAGGUGAAGAAGAAUGCUCAAGCUUUAGCAUCUGCUUUAUUGAGAAGAAAAUGCCGCCUAGUAACCGGGGGUACAGACAACCAUUUAUUACUCUGGGAUUUAAGGCCCCUGGGAUUGACAGGUAAAUUUUACGAGAGGGUCUGUGAGGCAUGUCAUGUCACUUUGAAUAAAAUUGCUAUUUUUGGUGACAAUGGAACUAUAAUACCCGGAGGUGUAAGAAUAGGUACCCCAGCCAUGACGUCAAGGGGGUGUCUGGAGGCUGAUUUUGAGACAAUGGCUGAAUUUCUCUUUAGAGCUGCACAAAUUGCAAACGUAUUGCAGAGGGAGCAUGGGAAAUUGCAGAAGACUGCUUUGAAGGGACUUGAGAGCAAUAGGGACAUUGCUGAGCUCCGGGUACGGGUUGAAGCUUUUGCAACUCAGUUUGCAAUGCCAGGUUUUGACAUCUGAAUGAUGUAGCUGGUGGAUUGCCAUUAUGGAUUAUUUAUAUAUGCUACACUGGGGGGUCGUCACGCCUCUGCUUGUUACAAAUGCUGAGUCAUCUUGGUAUGCAUAUAUUUUUGUGGUGCCUCCCUCCUCUCUGCAGUGUCCACAGUUUUCGGGUUUUUGCUUGUUGCAGUGAGUCACAAUGUGGUACAUGACCGUACAUAAGUGGGUACUGCUGUGGAGUGUUAUUUUGGUAAUCAAGUAUCCUGUUCCUGCCUCAAUGGCGGGCGCACCAUCCCUGCUGAAUGCAGCAAGUUGGCCAUUAUAGGGGUUUGAACAAGGAUUCUGGAUCAACCAAACUCAGUACAGAAUUCUUCUGGGGAAGCUGCAAAAAUAAAUAAUCUGAUAAAGAAGCGCUUUUGAGUUCAUGCAAGUGCGGCAUGUUUGAUUGACUCGGCACAGCGGAAGUAAUUUGGGUCAAUCAAUUGAGGAGCAGUUGCAAGCUCAAUGUAUCUAUUAACGCCACUUUGAUUUCCUCCUCCUCUUCUUCUUCUUAAUACCGAUAAUGCAUUAUAAUUAAAUUUUAAAGAAAAAUAACAACUAAUUAUUUGUAUUUGUGGUAUAGCUUACAAUUGAGGGAACCGAUAAUUUUUUUUCUGUCUUUAUUUUCAAGGUUAUAUUUGGAUCACUAGAAAGAUG
RNA transcript from Gastrolobium bilobum, 2711 nucleotides. It is a transcript of the gene named serine hydroxymethyltransferase 7-like, with no coding region annotated. Lineage: Eukaryota; Viridiplantae; Streptophyta; Magnoliopsida; Fabales; Fabaceae. The record is from RefSeq and is a predicted model, not a curated record. The transcript has 5 exons.